UUAACAAAUGCUUGGCUCCUCUGU
RNAcentral lists this non-coding RNA (24 nucleotides) under Rattus norvegicus (Norway rat). The record is from RNAcentral. Lineage: Eukaryota; Metazoa; Chordata; Mammalia; Rodentia; Muridae.